AAAGAAGGACAGAUGGCCGCCGGUCCCCCCUUUGCCGCUCGCGGCAUCUGUGGGGGACGGGAGGAAAGUCCGGGCUCCACAGGGCAGGAUGGUCCCUAACGGGGACCGGGGGCGACCCCAGGGAAAGUGCCACAGAGAGAAGACCGCCCGCUUCAAGCGGGUAAGGGUGAAAGGGUGAGGUAAGAGCUCACCAGUUCCGGCGGCGACGUCGGAAGCUCGGUAAACCCCAUCCGGAGCAAGGCCGAAUAGAGGAGCGUUUGAGGGCGGCCCGUCCGAGGCUCCUGGGUGUGCUGCUUGAGGCCGUCGGCAACGGCGGUCCUAGAGGAAUGGUCAUCGCCCCGCCGCGGGUAACUUCGGCGGGGAACAGAACCCGGCUUACGGCCUUCUUUGGCC
This 393-nucleotide RNase P RNA is filed under the name Desulfuromonas soudanensis. RNAcentral's name for it is "Bacterial RNase P class A". It matches the Rfam family "Bacterial RNase P class A". From Rfam's summary of the family: Ribonuclease P (RNase P) is a ubiquitous endoribonuclease, found in archaea, bacteria and eukarya as well as chloroplasts and mitochondria. Its best characterised activity is the generation of mature 5'-ends of tRNAs by cleaving the 5'-leader elements of precursor-tRNAs. The record is from Rfam by way of RNAcentral. Lineage: Bacteria; Pseudomonadati; Thermodesulfobacteriota; Desulfuromonadia; Desulfuromonadales; Desulfuromonadaceae.